UUCACCACACCUACAUAUCAUCAC
Molecule: non-coding RNA, 24 nt
Filed under: Arabidopsis thaliana (thale cress)
Lineage: Eukaryota; Viridiplantae; Streptophyta; Magnoliopsida; Brassicales; Brassicaceae
Source: RNAcentral